RNAcentral lists this non-coding RNA (761 nucleotides) under Acheta domesticus (house cricket). Lineage: Eukaryota; Metazoa; Arthropoda; Insecta; Orthoptera; Gryllidae. The record is from RNAcentral.
GUAAAGUUUUAUUCUUGCUUUAUUAUUUGUGUAUUGAAUAAUUUACAUAUAUUGAUGAUCUAAAGGGUAUUUUGGUAGUAAUUAAUAUUAUACAAUUAAGGUAAAUUAGAUAUAGUAUUUCUUGAAGUAUUGGUGAAAUGCGUGCCAGCUGCCGCGGUUAGACGUGAAAUACAAGUGAAUAUUGUUGAUUAGAAGUUAAUUGUUAUUAUUCAUAGUAAUUUUAAUUAAUUUUGGUGAAAUAGGUAAGUUAAUAUUUGUUUGAUUGUUAAGAUGAUGAGGCUUUGAAAUAUAAUGAUAGACUAGGAUUAGAUACCCUAUUAUGUAUUAUGUAAAUAGAUGAAUAUCAGGGUAGUAAUAGCUAUGGUCUUGAAACCCAAAGAAUUUGGCGGUGUUUUAGUCCUUUCAGAGGAAUCUGUUCUGUAAUUGAUAAUACACGAUUUAUGUGACUUGAUUUUGUUAUCAGUUUAUAUACCGCCGUCAGUAAGAUUAUCUUGUGGAGAGUAUUAAAUUUCGUUAUAUUUUAUUUUAUAUUAUGUCAGGUCAAGGUGUAGCUAAUAGUUAAGUAGAAAUGGAUUACAAUAAAAAUAUUUAUAUGGAUAAUAGUUUGAAUAAGUUAUUUGAAAGUGGAUUUGAUUGUAAAUUUGGUAUAGAUUGGCUAAUUGAUUAGGGCUCUAGAAUGUGUACAUAUCGCCCGUCGCUCUCGUUUAAGAUGAGAUAAGUCGUAACAUAGUAGAUGUACCGGAAGGUGUAUCUGGGAUGGC